ACCCUGUAAGUUAUUUGUAAAUCGGUGAACUUUAAUUUUUUUUUCUGAACCGAAAGGGUCCAAUGGCUUUAAACUGGAGAUAAAAAUACAAUCAUCAUCCAUCAUUUCUUGUAUUACUUUUCUCAACAAGAGACGUCUGAAUUUCUACUUCCCGCUUGUGGGCCACCAUGGUGCCCUGGUGAAUUGUACGAUUCUAACAUACAUUCUUGUAAUUACCAUACAUUAAACUGACAUAAUAGGUUCAGCUUAUGACAUGAUCGACAUCUUAACCACUUUUUUUAGACAAGUGUCAAAUUUAGUUUCACGCAACUCUGGAUAGCCCUUCUGAAGCGAGUAUAAACCAGUCUGUGCGAUGAAAAUAAUACCAUUGUUAUCCAGUAGUACAAAUCUGAUGUUCAGUUGUUUUUUUAAAAUUAUUUAUAUGGUACAUGUAAUUGUUACAAACGCACAAUGUAAAAACAUGUUUGGGAUAACACAAAAUUAUCAUUGUUGAUUAGUUAUCGUUUUAUUUAAGUACACUGUUGAAAUACAUAUGUACAUUAUUUUUAAGUUGUAAAGCACUAUUAAAACUGAUUAAUUUUAUCUUCAAGUUUGGCCAUUUUUUUGUCUCAAUGGUUGUUUCUUGGUUUUAUUGUUAAAAAGUCAUGUGAAGGGAGUCUUUUGGGUCAAUGUUGGGAGAAGCAUCAAGGAUGGCAGAUUUAUUUGCCUGACUUACAGAGCGAAUAUGUCCCUGCAGGAAGAACCAUCCCUAAUAGGUAACAGUACACAGUAACCAUCCCUAAUAGGUAACAGUACACAGUAACAGUACUCGGAUUCAAAUAUGUCCCUGCAGGAAGAACCAUCCCUAAUAGGUAACAGUACACAGUAACCAUCCCUAAUAGGUAACAGUACACAGUAACAGUACUCGGAUUCAAAUAUGUCCCUGCAGGAAGAACCAUCCCUAAUAGGUAACAGUACACAGUAACCAUCCCUAAUAGGUAACAGUACACAGUAACAGUACUCGGAUUCAGAACCAUCCCUAAUAGGUAACAGUACACAGUAACAGUACUCGGAUUCAAAUUGGGGGGCAUAAAAACCAAUACCCUUUUACAUAACCACAUUAAUUUGAAGUGGAAUGUUUCUCAAAAUGCUUUAUAGUAUCGACCAACGAUUACCAACCUUUACUGUACCUUUCAUUUAAUGUUCAAAUACAUUCACAGCAUACAAUUCACAGUAGCUUUUAGCAUUUUGGUCAUUGAUAACCCGUUUUGGGGCUGGCACUUGAGGGAAUUGUGCAGCUAAGUUGACACUUGGGUAAUCUAUAAUGAACCUGGCAUCUCCUUUACAUUUUUAAAAGGGAUAAAAUGGUAUAAGAGUCACUUUCUUGAUAUUCUUCAACGAUGUUUGCUAUAAAUACAACUACAAAGUGAAGAAUGUCUGAAGAAUGACUGCAGUUUCGCUCAGCCCCAGCGCCUUGACUUAAAACCUAAAGGCGCUAGGAUGGGCAAACAUAUCAAGCAUGCUCAUUGGUUAAUGCUCAGUCCCAUAAUGCAUCACACUCGAAUCACUCACACUGCACGCAUGACGUCUUCCUGUGCAAGCUGAUUAGCCCAUCCCAGUGGUCUUGAAUAGACCUGCAGGAUGCUGGGGCCAAGCGAAGUCUGCAGUGUUAUGCCCAUAGCCAAACAUACAUGCCCAGAUGUUUGGAAUGCAAAAUGCCAACAGAUGGUUAAUUAAUAAGGGAAUCAAUAUGUGGUGAAGAGGUUUUCAACUAGUGGUUUAAUCCCAACGAGGCCUGGUUCUGAAUAAUUUUACCGAGACGAAAUCGAGGUAAAUAAUCAAGAUCCAGGCCUCGGCGGGUUUAAACCACUAGUUGAAAACCGAUUCAACACACUUUGAUUCCCAUUCAU
Long non-coding RNA from Asterias rubens (European starfish), 1889 nucleotides. RefSeq lists it as uncharacterized. Lineage: Eukaryota; Metazoa; Echinodermata; Asteroidea; Forcipulatida; Asteriidae. The transcript is spliced from 3 exons. The record is from RefSeq and is a predicted model, not a curated record.